CCUACGGGAGGCAGCAGUGAGGGAUAUUGGUCAAUGGGGGAAACCCUGAACCAGCAACGCCGCGUGAGGGAAGACGGUUUUCGGAAUGUAAACCUCUGUCAGCUGUGAAGAUGAUGACGGUAGCAGAGUAGGACGCUCCGGCUAACUACGUGCCAGCAGCUGCGGUAAUACGUAGGGAGCAAGCGUUAUCCGGAUUUACUGGGUGUAAAGGGUGCGUAGGCGGCGUGGCAAGUCAGAAGUGAAAUCCAUGGGCUUAACCCAGGAACUGCUUUUGAAACUGCAGAGCUGGAGUGGAGGAGAGGUAGGCGGAAUUCCCGGUGUAGCGGUGAAAUGCGUAGAGAUUGGGAGGAACACCAGUGGCGAAGGCGGCCUGCUGGGCUGUAACUGACGCUGAGGCACGAAAGCGUGGGUAGCAAACAGGAUUAGAUACCCUUGUAGUC
Molecule: ribosomal RNA, 440 nt
Filed under: uncultured bacterium
Lineage: Bacteria
Description: partial 16S ribosomal RNA
Rfam family: Bacterial small subunit ribosomal RNA
Source: RNAcentral